UACGAAGAGGGCUAGCGUUGUUCGGAGUUACUGGGCGUAAAGGGCGCGUAGGCGGCGCACCAAGUCAGGCGUGAAAGCCCUGGGCUCAACCCGGGAAUUGCGCUUGAGACUGGUGUGCUCGAGUACGGGAGAGGAUAGUGGAAUUCCCAGUGUAGAGGUGAAAUUCGUAGAUAUCGGGAGGAACACCAGUGGCGAAGGCGGCGACCUGGACGGACAUUGACGCUGAGACGCGAAAGCGUGGGGAGCAAACAGG
RNAcentral lists this ribosomal RNA (253 nucleotides) under uncultured bacterium. RNAcentral describes it as "partial 16S ribosomal RNA". It matches the Rfam family "Bacterial small subunit ribosomal RNA", at positions 524 to 776 of the family's 1533-position model. The record is from RNAcentral.